UACGUAGGGGGCAAGCGUUAUCCGGAUUUACUGGGUGUAAAGGGAGCGUAGGCGGCUUAGUAAGUCAGAAGUGAAAGCCCGCAGCUCAACUGCGGGACUGCUUUUGAAACUGCCAUGCUGGAGUGCCGGAGAGGUAAGCGGAAUUCCUAGUGUAGCGGUGAAAUGCGUAGAUAUUAGGAGGAACACCAGUGGCGGAGGCGGCUUACUGGACGGUAACUGACGCUGAGGCUCGAAAGCGUGGGGAGCAAACAGG
Molecule: ribosomal RNA, 253 nt
Filed under: uncultured Eubacteriales bacterium
Lineage: Bacteria; Bacillati; Bacillota; Clostridia; Eubacteriales
Description: uncultured Clostridiales bacterium partial 16S ribosomal RNA
Rfam family: Bacterial small subunit ribosomal RNA
Source: RNAcentral